Molecule: ribosomal RNA, 406 nt
Filed under: uncultured bacterium
Lineage: Bacteria
Description: partial 16S ribosomal RNA
Rfam family: Bacterial small subunit ribosomal RNA
Source: RNAcentral
AUCGAACGCUGGCGGCAGGCCUAAUACAUGCAAGUCGAACGAGUGGCGGACGGGUGAGUAAUGUUUGGGAAUCUGCCUGAUGGAGGGGGAUAACUACUGGCAACGGUAGCUAAUACCGCAUACCAUCGGAUGUGCCCAGAUGGGAUUAGCUAGUAGGUGGGGUAAAGGCUCACCUAGGCGAAGAUCCCUAGCUGGUCUGAGAGGAUGACCGACCACACUGGAACUGAGACACGGUCCGAACUCCUACGGGAGGCAGCGUUGGGGAAUAUUGCACAAGGGGCGCAAGCCGGAUGCAGCCAUGCCGCGUGUAUGAAGAAGGCCUUCGGGUUUUAAAGUACUUUCAGCGGGAAGGCGUUACCCUCAGAAGAAGCACCGGCUAACUCCGUGCCAGCAGCCGCGGUAAUAC